This 146-nucleotide ribosomal RNA is filed under the name Amanita novinupta. RNAcentral's name for it is "partial 28S large subunit ribosomal RNA". It matches the Rfam family "Eukaryotic large subunit ribosomal RNA", at positions 1 to 143 of the family's 3401-position model. Lineage: Eukaryota; Fungi; Basidiomycota; Agaricomycetes; Agaricales; Amanitaceae. The record is from RNAcentral.
UUGACCUCAAAUCAGGUAGGACUACCCGCUGAACUUAAGCAUAUCAAUAAGCGGAGGAAAAGAAACUAACAAGGAUUCCCUUAGUAACUGCGAGUGAAGAGGGAAAAGCUCAAAUUUAAAAUCUGGCAGUGUCUCACUGUCCGAGU